Molecule: long non-coding RNA, 487 nt
Filed under: Bos taurus (domestic cattle)
Lineage: Eukaryota; Metazoa; Chordata; Mammalia; Artiodactyla; Bovidae
Description: long non-coding RNA NONBTAT022343
Source: RNAcentral
GGCUCAUGUAACAAGUUUAUUUUAUUAAAGAUGAUGGAUUACCUUUUGUGAGGGAAUUUUUAAUGUCAAGGCUGUCUUCAUGGCAAAUUCUGUUAAUAAGAUGCAUUUGUGACCUUGGUAUUAAUACAAUCAUGCAAAGCACGUAACAGAAUCACACUGAAACUAUUAGUAAAAGUCAACUAAUAACUGCUAAUGUAUAUGUGAGUCAAAAGGAUUUUAAGUUUGCCCAAAAUGUUGAGUCUGAUAACAUGAGACACAAUAAUUUCUGUAACAUAUUUCAGGGGCAUAAAGAGUAUUUUAAAUUCUAAAAGGAAAAUGAAUUUUGCUCAUUAAUAAUUAGUAAUUAUAUAAAAUUGAAAACUGUAGUUUCUAAUUUAGCUAAAUAUUUGUGUACAUAUCCUAAUUGAGCUAAUGGUGGGUGUGUGUGUUUUGUUUGUGCAUGUGAACUAAUCCACAAUCUGUUGGUGAUGCUUUAAAGUUUCAGUUU